GGAUUUCUGAUAAUGAGAUAUUCAGAUUUUAGGUCUUCAUGGAUGUGAUGUCUUAGAAAGAUAAUUGGUUUGACAUUUUGUUAAACAAUGGGGAUUAUUUUCUAAAUCAAUAGUGUCCUAGGCUGUUAGCACUAAGGUGUAAUAUCACAUCAAGGAACCAAGAUAGAUAAUUAUUCCCAGAAACAUCCAAGGCAACAAAUUCUAAUUUUACAAGGUUCGUCAUUCUGAAUGUAAAAUAAAUAUUUAAAACAUGACCUAUCAAUAUUUCAAGUUAAUACAAAAACAAUUUAAUAUCUAUACAGUAUGAUAUAACUAAAAAGUUUUAACGGCAUUGUCGCCAUUAACAAAUCAAGCAAUAGUAAAGUCAUAAGCUAUAACGAUAGUAAUAAUCGUAAAAUGAGUAGAGAUAGAUCGUACCUUAUUUCUGUGAAAGUCGCAGUAUUUAGAGUUGGUUAGAUUGUACCUGUUUAUGAUGUACCUGUUUGACUUAUCUCAGUUUGGCAGAGUCCUUCUUUGGCAUAUCUCAGUUCGGCAGAGUCUCGUGCUGAUAACGUGUUGUAAAUCUUGUAAUAUAUACUAUUAAACUAUACAAAAAUAAGAAAAGGAAACUAUUCUGGAAAGUAUAAAGAGAAUAGGAGAUGGAGAGAGAAAGUAGUUGUAUUUCAGAAUAUUUCAGAAUUGAAUUCAUUUCAACUGAACCAGCUAUUUAUAGAGGUUGGUUGAUGAAUCUUCCUAACUAAGAUUUGCAAUACUUCUAGGUUAAGUAUUACGAUUCUUCUCGAGUAAGUAUCGUAAGUCUUCCUCGAUAAGAACUCCGCUCUCUAUAUCGUUGUGCCAAAAUCAUAGUAUUUGGGUGAAAAGUCGAUAGGGUCUUUUCAAUUAUUUCAGCAUCAAUAAUAUUUCCACCGUACAAAAUUAAUAUUUGAGCUUAUCUUGAAAAGAUCAGAAUUAUGUUCAACUACAGAUUUGAAAUCUUGUAACCUCAAAUCAACCAGUCAGAACGGGCAGAUGGUAAGUGAACAGGUUUCUGGUGAUCAAAUAUAUCCUUGAGAUUAUUCCAAAGGGUAAGGGGAUUUCUGAUAAUGAGAUAUUCAGAUUUUAGGUCUUCAUGGAUGUGAUGUCUUAGAAAGAUAAUUGGUUUGACAUUUUGUUAAACAAUGGGGAUUAUUUUCUAAAUCAAUAGUGUCCUAGGCUGUUAGCACUAAGGUGUAAUAUCACAUCAAGGAACCAAGAUAGAUAAUUAUUCCCAGAAACAUCCAAGGCAACAAAUUCUAAUUUUACAAGGUUCGUCAUUCUGAAUGUAAAAUAAAUAUUUAAAACAUGACCUAUCAAUAUUUCAAGUUAAUACAAAAACAAUUUAAUAUCUAUACAGUAUGAUAUAACUAAAAAGUUUUAACGGCAUUGUCGCCAUUAACAAAUCAAGCAAUAGUAAAGUCAUAAGCUAUAACGAUAGUAAUAAUCGUAAAAUGAGUAGAGAUAGAUCGUACCUUAUUUCUGUGAAAGUCGCAGUAUUUAGAGUUGGUUAGAUUGUACCUGUUUAUGAUGUACCUGUUUGACUUAUCUCAGUUUGGCAGAGUCCUUCUUUGGCAUAUCUCAGUUCGGCAGAGUCUCGUGCUGAUAACGUGUUGUAAAUCUUGUAACAUAUACUAUUAAACUAUACAACGAUAGAAAAGAAACUAUCCUGGAAAGUAUAAAGAGAAUAGAAGAUGGAGAGAGAAAGUAAUUGUAUUUCGGAAUAUUUCAGAAUAGAAUUCAUUUCAACUGAACCAGCUAUUUAUAGAGGUUGGUUAAUGAAUCUUCC
Molecule: long non-coding RNA, 1801 nt
Filed under: Daucus carota (carrot)
Lineage: Eukaryota; Viridiplantae; Streptophyta; Magnoliopsida; Apiales; Apiaceae
Description: long non-coding RNA (DCAR_LNC003462)
Source: RNAcentral